UGGAUCGAAGCAACAUUCGUAUACCUCUGAAGAUGCAGUAGGAUAGAAUGAGGCUACGUGAAGAAGAAGAGCACCAAGGUCCAGCACGACCAGGCAGAAUUGGCCCUUUUAAGUCUUUACUCCGUUCCUGUUACACAACAACGAGCAAAGAGGGGCAGUUGUAAUACCCAAUUUGCCCGGCCCAAUAAAAAAAAAAUAUUAAAAAUCCAUAAGUCCAUUUACACUGCCCAAUUACAACAAAAACUAAACCCAAUUAUAAUGGCCCAAAU
This 269-nucleotide long non-coding RNA is filed under the name Gossypium barbadense (sea-island cotton). Its description in RNAcentral is "long non-coding RNA (GBAR_LNC018758)". The record is from RNAcentral. Lineage: Eukaryota; Viridiplantae; Streptophyta; Magnoliopsida; Malvales; Malvaceae.